RNAcentral lists this ribosomal RNA (254 nucleotides) under uncultured bacterium. Its description in RNAcentral is "partial 16S ribosomal RNA". It matches the Rfam family "Bacterial small subunit ribosomal RNA", at positions 524 to 776 of the family's 1533-position model. The record is from RNAcentral.
UACGGGGGGAGCAAGCGUUGUUCGGAUUUACUGGGCGUAAAGGGCGCGUAGGCGGCCACUGCAAGUCAGUUGUGAAAUCUCCGGGCUUAACUCGGAAAGGUCAACUGAUACUGCAGGGCUAGAGUGCAGAAGGGGCAACUGGAAUUCUCGGUGUAGCGGUGAAAUGCGUAGAUAUCUGGAGGAACACCGGUGGCGAAGGCGGCAUCCUGGACCGGUAUUGACGCUGAGGCGCGAAAGCCAGGGGAGCAAACGGG